Molecule: transfer RNA, 75 nt
Filed under: Bradyrhizobium yuanmingense
Lineage: Bacteria; Pseudomonadati; Pseudomonadota; Alphaproteobacteria; Hyphomicrobiales; Nitrobacteraceae
Description: tRNA_Asn_GTT
Rfam family: tRNA
About the family: Transfer RNA (tRNA) molecules are approximately 80 nucleotides in length.
Source: RNAcentral
UGGAGAAUAGCUCAGCGGUAGAGCGCCUCGCUGUUAACGAGGAUGUCGCAGGUUCGAUCCCUGCUUCUCCAGCCA